Molecule: long non-coding RNA, 1733 nt
Organism: Mytilus californianus (California mussel)
Lineage: Eukaryota; Metazoa; Mollusca; Bivalvia; Mytilida; Mytilidae
Exons: 2
Source: RefSeq, a predicted model, not a curated record
GGUAUCAUUUUGAUCAGAUUUUAUUAUUUUUGUGAAAUUCUUAAUUUCAGUAAAAAUUAGAAAAGUUCUAAGUUUAAAGCAAAUUAUUUUUAGUUCAAUAUUUUAUUGCAAUUUUGGACAGACAUUUUAAUAGCUUUAGUUUGGUUUUCACACAAACAUAUUUCCUUUUAGUAAGCCUUAUUUGUUGUAUAUAGAUUACGUAAGAAGUUAUCGGACAAUGGUCAGAAUGUGUUGACAGAUAUGAUUUUUAAAUGAAGCCGACAUGUAAUAAGAUGUAUUUCGGAUUAUUUCUAUUGUUAAUGUCCGGCUCAAAUAUGGUAUAGAGUAAACAUUGAUAGCAAGAUUACAUAAGUAAUUAAGAUAUUUUUUAGUCAUACACGUCACCUAUGACCCCACCUAUUUUCUGUCAAUUAGACUAAAGUUGUCAUGGUUUUUGAUUAAAUGAUAAUUUUGAUUGGACAACCUGAAACAGUCCCCAAAUUCGAAUCUAAAAAGUUAAUUCCAAAAAGCGUCACUUUUACAUGCGCUCUUUGGUAAUAAAGACAUAAAACCAUUUCAAGUUUUAUUGAAUAUUGUUUCAGGUAAGCAAAGUUAAUUUAAUUUUGUUAAAUAUGAUUUAAAGCAUUCAGUUUAAAGGUUUUCAUUACCUAAAAGUAACUUCUGAUAAAGUUAUUAAUUUGCUCAUGCUUUAUUCUUUUUGAAGAGAAAUAGAAUUUAAUUUUCCUUUUUGUAAAAUCUUCAUGUUUAGCAUUUUCAUAGUUAUUUUAUUUAAUAAGAGUUUUCAUCUUUUAUUAUCUUAUAAAGGAGUUAAUUAUAAAGAUAUUUUCUUUAUGCUAUAAUUGUAAAUAGUUGUAAAUUAUGUUUUUUAUAAGAAAAGUCUUUGUUUCUGAUCGGAAAAUUGGUAUACUUAUUUUAUCUGUUUUUAUAGUUAUUUAUAACAUCCGCCUGUUUUGUCGCACUGACAAGAAAUAAUAAUUCACCUUAAAGUUACUAUUGCAUUGAAGUUAUAAUGUUUCCAAUGGUAAGGUCUUAUUAUUCAAAAGCCUUUUUAGGUAUGAUUUCUUGAUGUGCAAUUUAUUUGACAUGUUAUUGUCAGCAAACACAUGGUUUGUUAUUUUUCUAUAAAUAACACGUUAUUUAGUAAACUUAUUUUUAGCAAGUAUACAUGUAAGGCAUAUAUUCCAUAGCUAGUUCCCCACAACAAAGUAUUAUAUAAUUUUCAUUGCGUAACAUGAUUUCAUGAUAGAAAGUUUCUAUUCUGCAAUUGUUCCCCCCUUUUUAUUGUGUAAAGAGUUAUCCCCCUUAACAGAUUAAACAAGAGUUAUCCCCCCUUAACAGAGAAAUGGUUAGAUAAGUAACCUCAUUGUUUGAAUUGGAGUUUCAUAAGAAAGAUGUUUAUAUUAUUCCUUUAUUUAAUUCUCAGUAUUUAGAAUAAAGUUUAUCCAAAUACCUUAAAAUGCUCUACCAUGUUUAUAUUUGAAUGUUUAGAAUAUUUAUGCAAAAGACAUGAGAUGUUGCUCAUACAUUAAGUAUUGCGAUAUGCAUUAUGUUCAUGUUUCAGAAUAUUUAUGAAAUAUUUAGUUAUGAUAGGUCUAUUGCAUUAUCUAUUAGCAUUAUACUUGCAUUAUUAUAUUGAUUUAUACUUAUGAAUAUUGUUUGUCAUUUUAUAUUAUAAUUGCUAUUAUAAUUAGACUUUUACAUGCGCUCUUUGGUAAUAAAGACAUAAAACUAUU